RNAcentral lists this ribosomal RNA (467 nucleotides) under uncultured Oomycota. RNAcentral describes it as "LSU rRNA". It matches the Rfam family "Eukaryotic large subunit ribosomal RNA", at positions 326 to 629 of the family's 3401-position model. The record is from RNAcentral. Lineage: Eukaryota; Oomycota.
GUGCGAGACCGAUAGCGAACAAGUACCGUGAGGGAAAGAUGAAAAGAACUUUGAAAAGAGAGUUAAAGAGUACCUGAAACUGCUGAAAGGGAAGCGAAUCGUAUCCAGUGUCUAUAAUCUGCGGCAUAUUUCAUUGGCGGCAGUGUGCGUGCUUUUGCGUCGGAAGCGGCUUUUGUUGCUCCGUGCUUUUGCUGUGCGUGCUGUUGCUGGUGCCCUGUGUUGCGGUGGGACGUCAGAGUCAGUUCGUAUGCUGCGGGAAAUGGCCGCCGAGGAGGUAGGUCAGGACUUCGGUCUUGGCUGUUAUAUCUUGGUGGUUUGUUGUCGUGGUUGGGACUGAGGUGCCUACAAUGUGCUUUUGAGUGUGCCGGGUUCUCAUUUGGUGGACUGUUUGGAUAGCUUGCUAUGCUUGUGGUUUUUUCAUCGAGUGAUUGAGUCUGGUGGUAACUUGUUGCUGUUCGGGACUUUGA